RNAcentral lists this long non-coding RNA (1137 nucleotides) under Dromaius novaehollandiae (emu). RNAcentral describes it as "lncRNA (ENSDNVG00000015490.1)". Lineage: Eukaryota; Metazoa; Chordata; Aves; Casuariiformes; Dromaiidae. The record is from RNAcentral.
UGCCUGACCUCUCCGGCGGGAGCAGAGCCUCGCGGGGGCAGCCGGGCCGGCGCCGGGGACGCGGUGCCCUUCCCAGCCCCGGGACRGAGGCCUCGUGGUUUGGGGACGAGCCCGGCUCGCGGCGUACGAAAUGGAGCUGGGAGGAAUGGUUCUCCGGGGAGUUCUGGUUUCCCCCGUUGCGGCUAAUUCCUCACGGCUAGGAUAGAUAGCCGAGACGCGUCUGGGAUUCGUGGCGUCCCUUCCCAGCCCGCCUGAUGCAGCGGAAAGCUGGYGGCGGGGGUGGCCUUGCUGGGCUCAGGGGGAUGCCCGCUGCCCCGUCCGGCCUGGGAUGCGCCUGCGACCGGGUUUCAGAGCUCGGGAACCCGCGGGCGGCCAGGAYGGUGGCGUCUCCCCCAGGAAUGGGGCCGCAUCCCCUCUGACACCACGCGGACCUCCUUGCGGGGCCGGCAGGGAUGGCUCGGGCCGAGGGGACCGGCGACGCGAUGGACCCUGUCUUGUCCCUCCCUCCCGCAGCUGGAAGAUGAGCGCGGUGCACGACGUGCGGACCGAGGCGCGGGAGCGGCCCAGCCGGCGGACGGUGGACCAGCUGAGCCCGGAGCUCCGCGUGGAGAAGUACAUCCUGCUGAGCAUGGACGGGAAGCUGCUGGGCCCGGAGCUGAGCCGGAUCCGGAGCGAGAUGGCCCUGCCCCUGGAGCGCCUGGAUGCUGACCUGCCCCAGGACCUGCCCCCCGGCUACCUCUGGCGCCAGCGCCGCUCCCUGCCGACCUUCCCCCUCGCCCCCGGGAGCGGCGCCCAGACCCCCGCGGACCUCAGGAGGAGCUCGGACUUGCUCUGCGCCGGCCAGUUCCCCACGGGGCUCAGCGACCUGGUGACGGGGAUGCAGGCCCCUGCCUCGCCGUGUGCCAGGAGCCGUGGCAGCCYGCGGGCUCGGCCCCGCUCCGCCCUGGCAGCCCAGGCUUCGGAGGCCGYGGGCCAGGGCUGCCGGGAGCGGACGGCCCCGGGGCGGGAAGGUGGCCAGGAGUGAGGGGAGCCGGGACCCCAGCCAGCUCCCCCCGCCCGGAGUAGGGGCGGCGCUGGCAGCACAGCGGGGCUGUAACGGGAGGAUGGUGCGAAAUAAAGACCCUGGAUGUAACCCCA